Molecule: microRNA precursor, 73 nt
Filed under: Bombyx mori (domestic silkworm)
Lineage: Eukaryota; Metazoa; Arthropoda; Insecta; Lepidoptera; Bombycidae
Description: mir-2774 microRNA precursor family
Rfam family: mir-2774 microRNA precursor family
Source: Rfam by way of RNAcentral
AAUACAAUCGGACCGUCGCCGUCGGUCUACCGAGCAACAUCACCCGCUCCGUGGAAGAUCUUCCCUUUGUCGU